Leguminivora glycinivorella is the source of this 1079-nucleotide long non-coding RNA. RefSeq lists it as uncharacterized. The transcript has 4 exons. The record is from RefSeq and is a predicted model, not a curated record. Lineage: Eukaryota; Metazoa; Arthropoda; Insecta; Lepidoptera; Tortricidae.
AAUAAACUUUCAGAUCAAUGUAAAAUAUGUUUGUGUCACUAAGUCAGUUUUAAUUUUUAUAACCUAUAAAUUCGUUAGGAAAUCAGGCGAAAACGCGUUAUUUUAAUUCAUUGCAAUAAGUGUUAGGUGUACAGUAGACCUAGUAAAAUCUAGCCUAGUGCAAUGGACGUAAAUAAACUGGAUCCUUAACUUUACAGCAAAGGUAAGCUUUUGUUUUUACUCUUCAAUCUGUCAUGAAACACGAAACUCCUGAACACACCUCGUUUAAAGAGUAAACAUCAAAAAUAUAUAUUCGAUUAAUUUACUUGACCUAGGCUACCUAACUGUACUUGGAAUUUAUAAAAUUUUUGCGGUUCCAAACAAUGAAAUGACUUAAUUAUUUUUCUGAGGCAAUAGCUUAUUGAUUAUGGAAAGUAAUAUUUGUAGGCCUUCAAAUAAAUGUUAUGGCAUUUAAAAAUGAGCAUUGAGUCUUGUACAAACUUUGUAUUUUUCAGAGAUAAAGAUUGACGUUGGAUUGGACACUUAAAUAAAAUUAUGUAGACUGAAAAUCUAGACUUAAUAUAAAUAUUGUUCUUGUUACAAUGGGUUUAAACAAUGUAUGUAUUAAUUUUCAGUAUAUCUAAUCGGUAAUCAACACCUAAACAAUUCCAACUAGUUGCAAGCUGAACGGGACAAUUUUCCGGCGUGUCCUUUAUGGACUGUACUCCGUCUUAGCACUAUCCUCAAGUUUUACCCGAGAGGCCAUGCUUCAGGUUGGACCGUCUUCCAUAUAUCUACUGACUUCAUAUAAAUGAAAGUGUACUAAGGACUCGCUGAUCUGCACUACCAGCUCAUGUUCAACGUUACUGAACAACAAAGUAAUCCGACAAUCAGACUGGACCCGGUCACGUUAGAUGCCAGAGGAAGACGAAAACAUAACUGAUCCUCCACUGAUGCACGACUUCGCCCGGAACGCGGCAAGAACCAACAAUGGAAGAAAAUACUAUAGACGUGUUUAUUAACAAUAAAGUUAUUUUAGUUUUUAUGAAAUAGCGAUUGAAUAAAAAUAUUAGGUAUAUGAGUUUUAUUUAGAGAUGAAA